UAAGGAGGGUGCGAGCGUUAUCCGGAAUCACUGGGUUUAGAGGGUGCGUAGGCGGCUCGAUGAGUCAGUUGUGAAAGCCGCUUGCUUAACGAGGGAGGUGCGAUUGAUACUGUCGAGCUUGAAUCGGGAUGAGGCAGGCGGAAUGUGGCAUGUAGCGGUGGAAUGCAUAGAUAUGCCAUAGAAUACCGAUUGCGAAGGCAGCCUGCUGGGCCUGUAUUGACGCUGAGGCACGAAAGCGUGGGGAGCAAACAGG
This 253-nucleotide ribosomal RNA is filed under the name uncultured bacterium. RNAcentral describes it as "partial 16S ribosomal RNA". It matches the Rfam family "Bacterial small subunit ribosomal RNA", at positions 524 to 776 of the family's 1533-position model. The record is from RNAcentral.